AUUGAACGCUGGCGGCAUGCCUUACACAUGCAAGUCGAACGGCAGCGGACCUUCGGGUGCCGGCGAGUGGCGAACGGGUGAGUAAUAUAUCGGAACGUACCUUUCAGUGGGGGAUAACGUAGCGAAAGUUACGCUAAUACCGCAUAUUCUGUGAGCAGGAAAGCAGGGGAUCGCAAGACCUUGCGCUGAUUGAGCGGCCGAUAUCAGAUUAGCUAGUUGGUGAGGUAAAGGCUCACCAAGGCGACGAUCUGUAGCGGGUCUGAGAGGAUGCUCCGCCACACUGGAACUGAGACACGGUCCAGACUCCUACGGGAGGCAGCAGUGGGGAAUUUUGGACAAUGGGCGCAAGCCUGAUCCAGCAAUGCCGCGUGCAGGAUGAAGGCCUUCGGGUUGUAAACUGCUUUUGUACGGAACGAAACGGUUCUCUCUAAUACAGGGGGCUAAUGACGGUACCGUAAGAAUAAGCACCGGCUAACUACGUG
RNAcentral lists this ribosomal RNA (482 nucleotides) under uncultured bacterium. RNAcentral's name for it is "bacterial SSU rRNA". It matches the Rfam family "Bacterial small subunit ribosomal RNA", at positions 30 to 507 of the family's 1533-position model. The record is from RNAcentral.